UUUUAUGAGGUCUCAGUGGUAGAGACGUUGGACUUCUGAUCGGACGGCCGUGGGUUCAAAUCCCAGCACUAACA
Ameiurus melas (black bullhead) is the source of this 74-nucleotide non-coding RNA. Lineage: Eukaryota; Metazoa; Chordata; Actinopteri; Siluriformes; Ictaluridae. The record is from the annotation of a GenBank genome assembly.